CGCUGGCGGCGUGCCUAAUACAUGCAAGUCGAACGGUCUUUUCUAUGGAAGCUUGCUUCCACUGAGAAGAUAGUGGCGAACGGGUGAGUAACACGUGGGUAACCUGCCCAUAAGAGGGGGAUAACAUCCGGAAACGGGUGCUAAUACCGCAUAGUUUUCUUGAUCGCAUGAUUGAGAAAGGAAAGACGGCCUUUGUGCUGUCGCUUAUGGAUGGACCCGCGGCGUAUUAGUUAGUUGGUGAGGUAACGGCUCACCAAGACGAUGAUACGUAGCCGACCUGAGAGGGUGAUCGGCCACAUUGGGACUGAGACACGGCCCAAACUCCUACGGGAGGCAGCAGUAGGGAAUCUUCCGCAAUGGACGAAAGUCUGACGGAGCAACGCCGCGUGAGUGAAGAAAGGUUUUCGGAUCGUAAAACUCUGUUGUCAGAGAAGAACAAGUUGGAGAGUAACUGCUCCAGCCUUGACGGUAUCUGACCAGAAAGCCACGGCUAACUACGUGCCAGCCGCCGC
RNAcentral lists this ribosomal RNA (512 nucleotides) under uncultured bacterium. RNAcentral's name for it is "bacterial SSU rRNA". It matches the Rfam family "Bacterial small subunit ribosomal RNA", at positions 34 to 518 of the family's 1533-position model. The record is from RNAcentral.